This 618-nucleotide ribosomal RNA is filed under the name uncultured bacterium. Its description in RNAcentral is "bacterial SSU rRNA". It matches the Rfam family "Bacterial small subunit ribosomal RNA", at positions 202 to 842 of the family's 1533-position model. The record is from RNAcentral.
CAAAGGUGAGCCAGUACAGGAUGGACCCGCGUCUGAUUAGCUAGUUGGUAAGGUAACGGCUUACCAAGGCGACGAUCAGUAGCCGACCUGAGAGGGUGAUCGGCCACAUUGGAACUGAGACACGGUCCAAACUCCUACGGGAGGCAGCAGUGGGGAAUAUUGCACAAUGGGCGAAAGCCUGAUGCAGCAACGCCGCGUGAGUGAUGAAGGCCUUCGGGUCGUAAAACUCUGUCCUCAAGGAAGAUAAUGACGGUACUUGAGGAGGAAGCCCCGGCUAACUACGUGCCAGCAGCCGCGGUAAUACGUAGGGGGCUAGCGUUAUCCGGAUUUACUGGGCGUAAAGGGUGCGUAGGCGGUCUUUCAAGUCAGGAGUGAAAGGCUACGGCUCAACCGUAGUAAGCUCUUGAAACUGGGAGACUUGAGUGCAGGAGAGGAGAGUGGAAUUCCUAGUGUAGCGGUGAAAUGCGUAGGUAUUAGGAGGAACACCAGUUGCGAAGGCGGCUCUCUGGACUGUAACUGACGCUGAGGCACGAAAGCGUGGGGAGCAAACAGGAUUAGAUACCCUGGUAGUCCACGCUGUAAACGAUGAGUACUAGGUGUCGGGGGUUACCCCCUUCG